Molecule: transfer RNA, 76 nt
Filed under: Oscillospiraceae bacterium
Lineage: Bacteria; Bacillati; Bacillota; Clostridia; Eubacteriales; Oscillospiraceae
Description: tRNA-Lys
Rfam family: tRNA
About the family: Transfer RNA (tRNA) molecules are approximately 80 nucleotides in length.
Source: RNAcentral
GAGCCAUUAGCUCAGUCGGCAGAGCAUCUGACUUUUAAUCAGGGGGUCUGGGGUUCAAAUCCCCAAUGGCUCACCA